CCGCACUCGAUACGCUCCGCACCCGCACCCUAGCGGGCGUGCCGGAGCGCCACCGCGCACACGACCGACUGCUCCACUGGGGCGCCGCGCUCGCACGCGUCUCGCGUGUGGCGCGGGUCCUGAGCCAAAGUCCCUCGCCCACACAAAGCAGGCAGCAAGUGCCGGGUGCCGGGGGAAACCCCCAGAGAGCUACAAGCGCCACGAGGCACCGCCGUACACACCCGCUGCUCGCAUGUCGGCCAGCGGGGCCAUCGGCUGCCGCGGUACGGCUCCCCUCUCAGCGAAGGGUGGGGCGCCUGCAUCUCCGCGCCGGCACUCGUGCUGGUGUGCGGGUGAUCCCGCGGCAGAAGCUAUCGGUGCGCGCUGCUCCGUGCCGGCAGCACCUCGCGUGCUUCCGCGUGCUGUGCAGCGCGUGCCAUGACGGGCGGCGCACCCGCCGUGCAUCCACCCCCUACGCCGCGUGCGCGCACGUCUCCGGGCGUGUGUGCGUGCGCAGUCGGAUGCGAAUGAGUCGCGCACCUGCGCGUCCCGCGGCGGGGCCUGUGCCACGUGCGCAGGCGUGCUGCGCCAGUCUCCCCACUCGGUGGUUUCUGUGCGACGUUGGGCAACACACGCGACGGGGGGGAGAGGCACACGCCCGCCCCCCCCGCCGCAUAACACCGUACAGUCAUGAGCAGCUGGCGGACGGGCAGGCCGCUGCGGCGGCCGCCACGCCAUGCAGAAGAGGGCUUAUCGCACACACGAACCCGUCACGACGACGCGGUGGUGCGCGCUGCCGCAGCCGCUCCGCCACGCGUGAUGCGCGGUGCGCUGUGUGUGCCGUGCCGUGUCGUGUGCUGGGCGCUGCUGUGGUGUGUGGCGUGUGCGGGCCGCCUGUGCUCCGCGCGGCUACCGUGUACAUGUGUGUCUGCGUCCCCUGUGUGCCAGCGGUGUGCUGGCGUCCGCCACUCUCGUGCGUGGCGCCGUGGCUGCGCACGCGCGCCUGCUCCGCAGGCCCGUGUGUGCCGCAGCAAUGCCUGUGCGGCGGUGUCUUUCCAAUCCCGAAGCACCGCGAGGCAGCUUGGACACUCCCCCACCUCUGCGUGUCAACGCAGCUGAUCUCUCCCGUGCCGUUCUAGAUGUUUUGCCUCUUCUCGCUUCUCUGUAUCCCCUCCGCUUCCCCGACGCUCAAAGUGUUACUACUGGGGCGCCGGCAGUCUUGAUGUCGGGACUAGCGUGGUGGGCAACGAGCUUCCGAAUGAUGCAUUGGUUGUGAUCCAUGGCAGUGGCGUGCUCUCCUCUUUUCAUUCUGCUCUCCUUUCCUAGCUACCUCCUCUCCACCCCCUUCCGUCAG
This 1333-nucleotide unclassified non-coding RNA is filed under the name Leishmania donovani. RNAcentral describes it as "gene:unknown". Lineage: Eukaryota; Euglenozoa; Kinetoplastea; Trypanosomatida; Trypanosomatidae. The record is from RNAcentral.